Molecule: long non-coding RNA, 1614 nt
Organism: Mesocricetus auratus (golden hamster)
Lineage: Eukaryota; Metazoa; Chordata; Mammalia; Rodentia; Cricetidae
Exons: 3
Source: RefSeq, a predicted model, not a curated record
AAGGAAGCAGGAGCAACAGCAGCAGCAGCAGCAGCAUAGCAGCUGGUGACCUGGUUAGGAUUCUCUGUUCCACUUUGUGCGAGGAUUUUGCUUGAAAAUAAACGGCUCACAUGGUGGAAGGAGAGAACCAAGUCAUGUGGGCUGUUGGUCCUCAUCUACACACGUUAGUUUGUGUGCCUGAGCAGGCUGUCCCUGUUACAAAUGAAGUCAUGAUGAGUUCUCUGUAGUCAUAUUGUCUUCGGAGUCAGCUGGGAUGCCUGGAUGAUUCAUUUCCAGACUCAGCAUCUUGAGGUCAACAAGCCCAUGAACUUUAAACUUCUGCAGCUCUGUUAAACUCAUUUUAAAAUCAAGGCUGCUUCUAACUGUGGAUCAAGAAUGUUUAAUUGUGGCCCAGGCUGACCUCAAACUUACUAUACAGUCAAGGAUAACCUUGAACUUGUGAUCUUUCUUUCUCCACCUAUCACUGAUGGGGUUACAGAUUAGCUACCACGGUUGGUUUAUACAGGGCUGGGGAUUGAACUCAAGGCUUUGUGCACAUUAGACAAACACUCUACCAACUGAGCCACACCCCCAGUCCAUGAAUGUUUGAAAAAAGUAUUUAAAAGGCUGGAGCUAAUGGAAGAAGCGCAAGUAUAUGGCAAAGGGACAUCUCAGAUGUCACCAGUGUCUGUGGAAGCUGGUGAUAAGCAUUUUGGCCCUUUCCUUUCCUUUCCUUUCCCUCCCUCCCUCGCUUCCUUCCUUCCUUCCUUCCUUCUUUCCUUCCUUCCUUCAGGUUUUUGGUUGGUUGUUUGUUGAUACAGGGUGUAGCUCUAUAGCCAAGCUGUAAUAUCCCAGGCAAACUGAACUUGCAAUCUCCCUGCCUCAGCUUCCCGAGUGCUAAGAUCAGCUGGCAUGAACUACUAGGCCCAUCUCAUGGCACUGUCUGUUUCUAGAAAACUCUCUUAUAGAAAUGCUCACACAAGCCAGGCGGUGGUGGCGCACACCUUUAAUCCCAGCACUCGGGAGGUAGAGGCAGGCAGAUCUCUGUGAGUUCGAGACUGGCCUGGUCUACAAGAGCUAGUUCCAGGACAGCCUCCAAAGCAAUACAGAGAAACCCUGUCUUGGAAAAUCCAAAACAAACAAACAGAAAGAAAUGCUCACACAAGUGGUCAAGACAUGUGUAGUGAUAAAAGCAGGUACGAUGUAGAAGGCACCCGCUCAGCUUUAUAGAUUCAAAACCAUCUCAUCUCGUGGCACUCUGGGGCAGGGGCUACCAGCUCAGUUUUACAGACAGAGAACCUUGAAGCGCACAGGGUAAAACUAGCCAACUGCAAGAAACAACGACACUGACCACUCAACAGUAGUCUGCACUUUGCAGUGACAAAUACAGUUUUGAAAUGAUGUUUAAAAAAAGUUUUAGCCGGGUGGUGUUGGUACACACCUUUACUCCUGGAACUCACAAGGCAGAGGCCAGCCUGAUCUACAGAGUGACUUCUAGGACAGGCAAGGCUAUCCAGAGAAACCCUGUGUCGAAAGACAAACAAACAAAAGCAAAACCCCCAAAGCAAAUCAAAUACUAUGCUGUAGAAAGCAAUGCAGCCAUGACAAAGAAUGAAAUAAAUCUAUAGAGCAACA